CACCGCGGUCAUACGAUUAACCCAAAUUAAUAGUAAUACGGCGUAAAGCAUGAUUAGGGAAUAAUAUAAAUAAAGUUAAAUGUAAAUCAAAGCUGUAAAAAGCUCCUGAUUAACUUAAAAUAAGACACGAAAGUUACUUUACCACUCCUGAAUUCAUGAUAGCUAGGAUA
RNAcentral lists this ribosomal RNA (170 nucleotides) under Orycteropus afer (aardvark). Its description in RNAcentral is "partial 12S rRNA". Lineage: Eukaryota; Metazoa; Chordata; Mammalia; Tubulidentata; Orycteropodidae. The record is from RNAcentral.